Penaeus vannamei (Pacific white shrimp) is the source of this 875-nucleotide non-coding RNA. NCBI's taxonomy places the organism in Eukaryota, Metazoa, Arthropoda, Malacostraca, Decapoda, Penaeidae. The record is from RefSeq and is a predicted model, not a curated record.
CACGUUUCCUCUCAGGGUUUCACAGUCACUCGGACGAAGGCGGAGCGAGAGGACCGCCCCUCGAGUCUCUCGUAACUGGCGUCGUGAGUGAAUCUUUUCCAGCCAAUUAUCGGCCACAGUAUGAUACAAGUCUUGUAGAGGAGAAACAGAAGAAAGAGAAAGGCGCACAAAGAAGACGAAGAGGAAGAGGACGCUCAGACAAUAAAGAUGGCAGGAGCAAAUAAGAGAACCACGGUCUGUCUGACGACUGUGGCCGUUGUGUUCAUCGUCGUGAUCAUCAUCUUGUGCGUUAUACCGAGGCCCUGCAGGAAGGGCGAGGCCUGCUAUGACGAGGGACAAUCGAAGAAUGCCUUUAUCUCCGGCGUCAUCACUGACACUAGCACCACCCAGACCUCAACCACUAGUACUGAAACCACGACAUGAACCACGUCAACUGAAACAAUUGUAGUUACUACGCCUGCGACCGUCAGCGAGACCACAUCUUCGACUACUUAUUCUUCCACUUCAACUUCUAUGUCCACGACAUCCUCUUCUGAAGCCAUGCCACCUGUGACCGAACCAUCGGUCACGGAAACCACUACCGAGACGUCGGACCUCGCUGAAACGACGCCUGUGACAAAGGCAGAUGAGAAUACAACCGAGGUUGUGACAGUAACAGAGACAACUGAGGCAAUAACGGACACAACAGCGGAGACAACGGAGGCUGAAACAACAAUGACAACUACUGAAGAGAUUCCAACAACCACAGAGGAAUAUACUUUCACCUACAUGGAAGGGAGGGACUGCAACACUACAGCUUGCAGACGUUAGCGGCGCGCAUGCUCGACAUGAUGGACAAUGGGGAUAUCAGCCCCUGUACGGACUUCUACCAGUAC